CCUGAACCUCCUAUCAAAACCAAAAGAUGACAUUCGCCUACCACGAAGGGCCUGACAAAGUCUAAGUGGCGACAAUUGCCUACCCCGAAGGGCCUGACAAUGCCAAAGUGACGACAAUUGCCUACCCCGAAGGGCCUGACAAUGCCAAAGUGACCACCUGCCGAAGAGGCUACCAUCGAAUGGUCAGCGAGUCCUCCCGAACCUCCUAACUCCGAGGUGGCAUUUGCUGUGCCUGUCAGAAUAUGGAUGAGCUAC
This 255-nucleotide long non-coding RNA is filed under the name Panax ginseng (ginseng). RNAcentral describes it as "long non-coding RNA (PGIN_LNC000547)". The record is from RNAcentral. Lineage: Eukaryota; Viridiplantae; Streptophyta; Magnoliopsida; Apiales; Araliaceae.